RNAcentral lists this long non-coding RNA (701 nucleotides) under Heterocephalus glaber (naked mole-rat). RNAcentral describes it as "lncRNA (ENSHGLG00100052382.1)". Lineage: Eukaryota; Metazoa; Chordata; Mammalia; Rodentia; Bathyergidae. The record is from RNAcentral.
UAGGUUCUACCUCUCAAUCGCUGAGUGUAAUCAUGUCCAAGAUAAACUUCUGCCCCACAAUUUUCUCAUAUGUAGAGUGAGAAUAAGGGUAAUGCCACCUUAUGUGGUUGUAUUGGAGCUUGAAUGUGGUUAAUACCUACAACUUCCAAUAAGUAUUUGAUGAUAAUGACGGUCAUUAAAAAGGGUGUGGCAGUCAGGAGAAAGUGUACAGUGUGCAGUUAGGCAGAGGUACUUGCCUCCUCUGCCCAGCAAAGUUCUCUCUGAACCAAGCCACAAGUGGACAAGUCCCCACCCAAAUAAAUGACUGGUCUGUUCUCCCUCAUCUUUUACAACAUUGCUCUGAAUCAUGGCUGACCUUGAAACAGUUAACCUGCCCUGUCUGCAUCCAUCUUCCUGGCCAUGAUUGUGGAGUCUCAAGAGGCAGAUUGUUACCAAAUCCCUGUGUCCCUUGUCCUGAAUCACAGCCCAGGUUUUAACCAGCCACUAGUACCCCAGCAAGUGGAGGCCUGCUUCACUGUAAGUCCAUUGAGUCUCCUGGCUUCCCUUUGCCUGGUAUUGACACAAUAUUCUUUGCAGUAAUAGUAAUGCAGGAUCAGAGGAUCAGACACCCUUUGCCUCUCUCCCUCUCCCUCUCUCUCUCUGCUCCCAUUUAAGCAUUUGCCACCUCCCACACAUUCUCCCCUGGGAUACCUCUUCAGCCC